RNAcentral lists this ribosomal RNA (468 nucleotides) under uncultured bacterium. RNAcentral's name for it is "partial 16S ribosomal RNA". It matches the Rfam family "Bacterial small subunit ribosomal RNA", at positions 28 to 507 of the family's 1533-position model. The record is from RNAcentral.
GACGAACGCUGGCGGCGUGCUUAACACAUGCAAGUCGAACGGAAAGGCCCUGCUUUUGUGGGGUGCUCGAGUGGCGAACGGGUGAGUAACACGUGAGUAACCUGCCCUUGACUUUGGGAUAACUUCAGGAAACUGGGGCUAAUACCGGAUAGGAGCUCCUGCUGCAUGGUGGGGGCUGGAAAGUUUCGGCGGUUGGGGAUGGACUCGCGGCUUAUCAGCUUGUUGGUGGGGUAGUGGCUUACCAAGGCUUUGACGGGUAGCCGGCCUGAGAGGGUGACCGGCCACAUUGGGACUGAGAUACGGCCCAGACUUCUACGGGAGGCAGCAGUGGGGAAUAUUGCACAAUGGGCGGAAGCCUGAUGCAGCAACGCCGCGUGCGGGAUGACGGCCUUCGGGUUGUAAACCGCUUUCGCCUGUGACGAAGCGUGAGUGACGGUAAUGGGUAAAGAAGCACCGGCUAACUACGUG